GAUGAAGAACGCAGCGAAAUGCGAUACGUAAUGUGAAUUGCAGAAUUCAGUGAAUCAUCGAAUCUUUGAACGCACAUUGCGCCCGCCAGCAUUCUGGCGGGCAUGCCUGUUCGAGCGUCAUUUCAACCCUCGACCUCCCUUUGGGGAAGUCGGCGUUGGGGACCGGCAGCACACCGCCGGCCCUGAAAUGGAGUGGCGGCCCGUCCGCGGCGACCUCUGCGUAGUAAUCCAACUCGCACCGGAACCCCGACGCGGCCACGCCGUAAAACACCCAACUUCUGAACGUUGACCUCGAAUCAGGUAGGACUACCCGCUGAACUUAAGCAUAUCAAUAAGCGGAGGA
This 343-nucleotide unclassified non-coding RNA is filed under the name soil metagenome. RNAcentral describes it as "partial contains 5.8S ribosomal RNA, internal transcribed spacer 2, and large subunit ribosomal RNA". The stretch from base 1 to 120 matches the Rfam family "5.8S ribosomal RNA", at positions 35 to 154 of the family's 154-position model. The record is from RNAcentral.